GCGUCGAGCGGCGGACGGGUGAGUAACGCGUGAGAAUCUGCCCAUUUGUGGGGGAUAACUCGGGGAAACUCGAGCUAAUACCGCAUAAUCCCUACGGGGGAAAGCAGGGGACCUUCGGGCCUUGUGCAGAUGGAUGAGCUCGCGUCGGAUUAGCUUGUUGGUGAGGUAAAGGCUCACCAAGGCGACGAUCCGUAGCUGGUCUGAGAGGAUGAUCAGCCACACCGGGACUGAGACACGGCCCGGACUCCUACGGGAGGCAGCAGUGGGGAAUCUUGGACAAUGGGGGCAACCCUGAUCCAGCCAUGCCGCGUGUGUGAAGAAGGCCUUCGGGUUGUAAAGCACUUUCAGUAGGGAGGAAGGCUUACCGCUAAUAACGGUGAGUACUUGACGUUACCUACAGAAGAAGCACCGGCUAAUUUCGUGCCAGCAGCCGCGGUAAUACGAAAGGUGCGAGCGUUAAUCGGAAUUACUGGGCGUAAAGCGCGCGUAGGCGGUUUGUUAAGUCAGAUGUGAAAGCCCCGGGCUCAACCUGGGAAUUGCAUUUGAAACU
RNAcentral lists this ribosomal RNA (550 nucleotides) under Alcanivorax jadensis. Its description in RNAcentral is "bacterial SSU rRNA". It matches the Rfam family "Bacterial small subunit ribosomal RNA", at positions 88 to 634 of the family's 1533-position model. The record is from RNAcentral. Lineage: Bacteria; Pseudomonadati; Pseudomonadota; Gammaproteobacteria; Oceanospirillales; Alcanivoracaceae.